AUGGCGAGCGCGGCGACGUCAAAGAAGGCGGCGAACCGGCUGGUGGUGGAGGAGGCCGCCACCAACGACGACAACUCCGUGUGCAACCUCCACCCGGCCACAAUGGAGAAGCUCUCCAUAUUCCAGGGCGACAUCGUGCUACUCAAGGGCAAACGUCGCCACAACACGGUCUGCAUGGCACUGGCCGACGACACCUGCGAGGGGCACAAGCUCAGGAUCAACAAGGUGGCCCGCUCCAACCUGCGUGUGCGCAUCGCCGACGUCGUGUCCGUGCACCUGUGCCACGACGCCAAGUUCGGCAAGCGCGUGCACAUCCUCCCUCUGGACGACACCGUCGAGGGCAUCACGGGCAACCUCUUCGGCGCCUACCUCAAGCCCUACUUCGUGGACGCCUUCCGCCCGGUCCACAAGGGCGACCUCUUCCUCGUGCGCGGCGGCAUGCGGAGCGUCGAGUUCAAGGUCAUGGAGAUCGACCCCGCGGUGGACUACUGCGUCGUGGCGCCCAACACGGAGAUAUUCUGCGAGGGUGAGCCGGUCAAGCGGGAGGACGAGGAGAGGCUUGACGACGUCGGCUACGAUGACGUGGGUGGCAUGGGGAAACCACUGACUCUGAUCAGGGAGCUCGUCGAGCUGCCACUCAGGCAUCCGCAGAUCUUCAAGAGCAUUGGCGUCAAGCCUCCCAAGGGCAUCCUCCUGUACGGCCCUCCAGGGUCCGGCAAGACGUUGAUCGCCCGUGCGGUGGCCAACGAGACCGGGGCCUUCUUCUUCCUUAUCAAUGGGCCAGAGAUAAUGUCGAAGAUGGCCGGAGAGAGCGAGAGCAACCUGAGGAAGGCCUUCGAGGAGGCUGAGAAGAAUGCGCCCUCUAUCAUCUUCAUCGACGAGAUCGACUCCAUUGCUCCGAACAGGGAGAAGACUCACGGCGAGGUCGAGAGGCGCAUCGUCUCCCAGCUGCUGACACUGAUGGAUGGCAUGAAGGCCCGCGCGCACGUCAUCGUCAUGGGCGCGACGAACCGUCCCAACAGCAUCGACCCUGCCUUGAGGCGCUUCGGAAGGUUUGAUCGCGAGAUCGACAUCGGCGUGCCGGACAAGGUCGGGCGUCUCGAAGUGCUCCGCAUCCACACCAAGAGCAUGAAGCUGGAUGAGGACGUCAACCUUGAGCUGAUUGCCAAGGAUACACAUGGCUACGUGGGCGCCGACUUGGCCGCGCUCUGCACCGAGGCGGCGCUGCAGUGCAUCAGGGAGAAGAUGGACGUGAUCGACUUAGAGGACGACACCAUUGAUGCCGAGAUCUUGAACUCCAUGGCCGUCACCAAUGACCACCUUAAAACGGCUCUCGUCGGCACGAACCCGUCUGCGCUUCGUGAAACCGUCGUGGAGGUGCCCAACGUCAGCUGGACCGAUAUUGGCGGCCUCGACGGCGUCAAGAGGGAGCUGCAAGAGACCGUCCAGUACCCGGUCGAGCACCCGGAGAAAUUCGAGAAGUUUGGCAUGUCGCCGUCCAAGGGCGUCCUCUUUUACGGGCCACCAGGAUGCGGCAAGACCUUGCUGGCGAAGGCGAUCGCCAACGAGUGCCAGGCCAACUUCAUCAGCAUCAAGGGGCCAGAGCUUCUCACCAUGUGGUUCGGCGAGAGCGAGGCCAACGUGCGCGAGAUCUUCGACAAGGCGCGUCAGUCUGCGCCGUGCGUCCUGUUCUUUGACGAGCUCGACUCCAUCGCAACCCAGAGGGGCGGCAGGAUGGGCGACGCCGGCGGCGCGGCGGACAGGGUCUUGAACCAGCUUCUCACCGAGAUUGACGGCAUGAACGCCAAGAAGACGGUCUUCAUCAUCGGCGCCACAAAUAGGCCGGACAUAAUUGACUCGGCGUUGCUCCGUCCUGGCCGCCUGGACCAGCUCAUCUACAUCCCCUUGCCAGAUGAGGCCUCGCGGCACCAGAUCUUCAAGGCCUGCCUCAGGAAGUCUCCCGUGGCCAAGGACGUUGACCUCGGCGCGCUGGCAAGGUUCACCGCCAGCUUCAGCGGUGCCGACAUCACGGAGAUCUGCCAGAGAGCGUGCAAGUACGCCAUUAGGGAGGACAUUGAAAAGGACAUGGAGAGGCAGAGGAUGGGGAAAGACACCAUGGAUGUGGACGGCGGCCAGAAAGAUGAGGAGAUGGCAGAGAUUAAGGCGGCUCACUUCGAGGAGUCGAUGAAGUACGCGAGGAGGAGCGUGAGCGAUGCCGACAUCAGGAAGUACCAGGCCUUCGCGCAGACGCUGCAGCAGUCUAGGGGGUUCGGCAUGGAGUUCCGCUUCCCGGCGCAGCCACAGGCGGCAGAAGCUGCUGCUGACACCACCGCGGCAGCUGAUGAGGAUGAAGAUGAUCUGUACAAGUGA
This 2370-nucleotide ribosomal RNA is filed under the name Triticum aestivum (bread wheat). RNAcentral's name for it is "partial small subunit ribosomal RNA". Lineage: Eukaryota; Viridiplantae; Streptophyta; Magnoliopsida; Poales; Poaceae. The record is from RNAcentral.